Molecule: long non-coding RNA, 860 nt
Filed under: Zostera marina
Lineage: Eukaryota; Viridiplantae; Streptophyta; Magnoliopsida; Alismatales; Zosteraceae
Description: long non-coding RNA (ZMAR_LNC002672)
Source: RNAcentral
AGAGAAAAUGCAGACGACAUUACACAGAGAGAAACAAUAAUUGAUUAAUAAUUAUAAAAAAAAAAGAUGUUAUAGUUGUAUACAUGAAAAGCAAUAAAAUCCAAAAAAAAACCUUUAUCAAUCUACUCCUUUAUUCCUACCCACCGCUGUUCUCCUCAGGCGGUGAUUCCUUGUGUCGUUUUUCUUCUUCUUCUACUACUACUAUCUAGACAGUACAGUAGCAGCACUCUCUGUUUCUGUUUCUGCUUAUUUGAAAUAUAAAUUGAAAUUAAAACAUAAAACUAACCGAAAGAGGAGAUGAGAUGAAAAGAGGUGGCGAAAACGUGUUUUUACCUCGCCGACUCCGUCAUCCGCUAGUUCUACACCUGGCAACUUCCGCCGCGUGAUAACAGAGAGCGGCGACGAAACCGAUGCGGUGAGAAUAGGACAAAACGGAGAAGGAUUUGGGCGGGUCUUAGUAACAAAGUCGUCGCCCUCGCGGUCCCUUUCUCUCUCUCUCUACCUAUUUUCUCAGUUUAAAAAUUUGAAAUCCAUCGUCACUCUCUUAUUCUAUUCGGUAGUGGAAUUGUGAUUUAUUUUUUUAUGUACUUUAGUAUUUUUUACUGCCACGUGUUAUCACAGAUUUACCAGAAUACCGAGUUCAAAUGAUUUCAUCGACGGACAUAGAUCGAUCCAACACGUGGCAAGGAAUACAGUCAAAUGCAAUUAAGGAAUGAGAUCUGCACAGAUUUUCAUUUUACCCGAUUACGACGUUUUUAUUUUCUGAAGGUAAUUUUAACUUCUUCUUUUUUUGAGGUAAAAACUAAUUCUAAACGAAACUAAAAGUAAAUUCUAUAUAAAUAAAGGGUAAAAAGAACCUG